Andrographis paniculata is the source of this 1361-nucleotide RNA transcript. RefSeq lists it as uncharacterized. The transcript has 5 exons. NCBI's taxonomy places the organism in Eukaryota, Viridiplantae, Streptophyta, Magnoliopsida, Lamiales, Acanthaceae. The record is from RefSeq and is a predicted model, not a curated record.
UGAUUUCUUAACCCAAUUGCUACCGCGCCCAGAUGAAACCCUAAUUAGGGAGGCACGUUCUCCGCCGCGCUUCCAAUCUUGAUUCUGUGCGCCCGCUGACUGGUGGCUAACUCUCAUCUCUAUUUCGCCUCUUCGGUCUUCUCCAAUUCUGGCGAUUCUGAAUUUUAGGGUUUUUUCAAUUGAGGAUUUAUGUGUAGGUGGAAACGAUUGGAAUGUUCAUACGCUCAUGCUAUUGAUGAAACAUCGGAGAUUGGGGGAGAGGGCAUGGAUCGAAUGCAUAGGUUCUAUUAUGAACCAAAUAUGGACAUUAUAUAUGUUCUAAGCAUUCAUUACAUAGAUUUGUCUUUGGCAAACUUUUCUAACAAUAUUCCCAGUUCACGACAACAUCCGGUGUAUCUUAGAGGAUUGUUAAUUCCCAAGGCAUUGUUACCACAUGACAAUGGAAGUUUGCCCUAAGAAUUCGUUUUAGUUAGUCAUCAACUAAUGAGUUCACAUUGUUAUGUUGUGGCUUAGUCCCACAUCGGAUUUGCAACAAAUUCUUUUUCCUUUAGUUGGAUAUAAAUGCGGAGGUGGCAUCGUCCCACAUCGACUUCUUAACAAAUGUGUUUCUCUUUAGUUGGAUAUAAAUGUGGAGGUAGCAUCGUCCCACAUCGACUUUUUAACAAAUGUGUUUCUCCUUAGUUGGCUAUAAAUACGGUAGGUGCUGAUAAACUUAAGCAUACAAAAUCCAGAGAGCUUUAGUGGACUGGAUGCGCGUUUGGGCAAUUCUAAAGGAUGCACUAUGAUGUUCUUUAUAUGCGCAAUGAGAGAGCAGUCGGAGAACAUAAGAUUUCGGAGGUUAUGGAUGAUGCAGUGCACAUUAAUUUGAUAUUAAUCAUGUCUCUUGAAAAAAAAGUAAUUUGAUAUCUUUGGCAAGUUUUUCUAAACACAACCCUGGACAACAGCACAGGAUCGCCUCUAUCUUUGGCAAGCCUUUCUAACAAGGGUUUCUUGGCGUGCCAAAGUGUCACAAACUUGAUUCCAAACAGCUUGUAUGGUCAUAGUAUGACCAUUGCUCUGCUGUUGGCUGUUUCGUCUGGGCCACCAUUAGAGAGUGUUUGUAGCAGUAAUGCCGCAACAGCGUUGCGAGAAUGUAUAUGGCCAAGAUGCGCAAGCGACGCAACAGAGGCGGAGACGGAGGACAUCAUCUAAGUUGCCACUCCAAUAUAUAUUAAGGUUUAUUAAAAAUUGGUGAUUUUGGGUGUAGAUAAACUCACCCUGAGUUCGUAAAAACAAAUGUUACGAGAAUUAUGAAUGUAUGUUUGGUCGAUGUAAUUCAAAUUUUACUUAUAAUAAAAUCUCCGGCAUUUGCAUGGGAACUU